GACGAACGCUGGCGGCGUGCUUAACACAUGCAAGUCGAGCGGUAAGGCCCUUUCGGGGGUACACGAGCGGCGAACGGGUGAGUAACACGUGGGUGACCUGCCCUUAGCUCUGGGAUAAGCCUGGGAAACUGGGUCUAAUACCGGAUAUGACCUCAUGACUCAUGUUGUGGGGUGGAAAGCCUUGUGCGGCUAGGGAUGGGCCCGCGGUCUAUCAGCUUGUUGGUGGGGUAAUUGCCUACCAAGGCGACGACGGGUAGCCGGCCUGAGAGGGCGACCGGCCACACUGGGACUGAGACACGGCCCAGACUCCUACGGGAGGCAGCAGUGGGGAAUCUUGCGCAAUGGGCGAAAGCCUGACGCAGCGACGCCGCGUGAGGGAUGACGGCCUUC
This 390-nucleotide ribosomal RNA is filed under the name uncultured bacterium. Its description in RNAcentral is "bacterial SSU rRNA". It matches the Rfam family "Bacterial small subunit ribosomal RNA", at positions 28 to 419 of the family's 1533-position model. The record is from RNAcentral.